RNAcentral lists this ribosomal RNA (274 nucleotides) under uncultured bacterium. Its description in RNAcentral is "partial 16S ribosomal RNA". It matches the Rfam family "Bacterial small subunit ribosomal RNA", at positions 523 to 796 of the family's 1533-position model. The record is from RNAcentral.
AUACGGAGGGUGCGAGCGUUAAUCGGAAUUACUGGGCGUAAAGCGCGCGUAGGCGGCUUUGUAAGUCGGAUGUGAAAGCCCUGGGCUCAACCUGGGAAUUGCACUCGAUACUGCAGAGCUAGAGUAUGGUAGAGGGAAGUGGAAUUUCCGGUGUAGCGGUGAAAUGCGUAGAUAUCGGAAGGAACACCAGUGGCGAAGGCGACUUCCUGGGCCAAUACUGACGCUGAGGUGCGAAAGCGUGGGGAGCAAACAGGAUUAGAUACCCCGGUAGUCC